RNAcentral lists this ribosomal RNA (349 nucleotides) under Darevskia valentini. RNAcentral describes it as "partial 12S ribosomal RNA". Lineage: Eukaryota; Metazoa; Chordata; Lepidosauria; Squamata; Lacertidae. The record is from RNAcentral.
ACUACAAGUGAAAAACUUAAAACUCAAAGGACUUGACGGUGUCCCAUAUCGACCUAGAGGAGCCUGUCCUAUAAUCGAUACUCCCCGCUCCACCCAACCCCAACUUGCAUACGUCAGCCUAUAUACCGCCGUCGAUCAGCCUACCCUAUGAAAGUCCAACAGUAGACAUAAUAGCCCUACCGCUAAUACGUCAGGUCAAGGUGUAGCAAAUGUUGUGGAAGAGAUUGGCUACAUUUUUUAUUAUAAAAAAUACGAAAUAUACCAUGAAACAGUAUAUGAAGGUGAAUUUAGUAGUAAAAUAAACAAGAGUGUUUAUUUUAACAACGCUCUGGGACGCGUACACACCGCC